MicroRNA precursor from Caenorhabditis elegans, 97 nucleotides. Lineage: Eukaryota; Metazoa; Nematoda; Chromadorea; Rhabditida; Rhabditidae. The record is from Ensembl.
UGUCCUGAAGGCAGGCAAUUGAUGACCCAGACAAGGACUAAUCAAGAUUGUCGAUCUAGUCCCUGCCUGGGUCACCAAUUGUCGGCCCCCGCGGGCA